Oryza sativa Japonica Group (Japanese rice) is the source of this 2777-nucleotide non-coding RNA. NCBI's taxonomy places the organism in Eukaryota, Viridiplantae, Streptophyta, Magnoliopsida, Poales, Poaceae. The record is from RefSeq and is a predicted model, not a curated record.
AUGGAAAUCUCCCCCAACUCCGCCGCCGCCACCGCCGCCGCCACGGCGGCGGCUCCGGCCUCUUCCUCGACCUCCUCCCCAUCCGCCCCCAAGCGCCUCACCACCACGCUCCGCAUCCUCUGCCCCUCCAGCCGCGCGUCCGCGCUCCGCGGGGCGUCGCGGGACCUCCACGUGGACCAGCCCCCCGUCGGCGACGAGGCCGUGCUCUCCAUCUCCGGGCCGGACGCCCCCGCCGUGGCCGUGAGGGCGUGGGAGCGGGUCGUGGGGCACAGGGUCGGGGGCGACGAGGCCGCCGGGGAGGAGGAGAGGGAGGUGCCCGGCGUGGUGGGCUGCCGGAUGCUGGCGGCGAGCGGGCAGGUCGGGUGCGUGCUGGGGAAGGGAGGGAAGACGGUGGAGAGGAUGCGGCAGGAGAGCGGCGCGCAGAUCAGGGUGUUCCGGAACAGGGAUCAGCUCCCUCCCUGGGCUGCGCCGGUGGACGAGCUUAUCCAUAUAAGUGGGAACUUUUCUGCAGUAAGGAAAGCAUUAUUGUUAGUUACAACCUGCCUUCAAGAUAACCCUAGGCCAGAUGCAAGCAACUUUCCACCUGGAAGAUUUGGGCCUCCUGGCCCAGUUGGCAUAGAUCCUCAUUCUCAAAGAGGCUAUUUACCACCAUCCAUGCCUGAUUAUCAUGCAAGGAAUUAUUCAAGUAAUAUGGCUGCCCCCGGUCCUAGAUUCUUUGUUGAACAAGAGAUAGUCUUCAGGAUGAUAUGUCUCAAUGAAAUGGUGGGGAGCAUAAUCGGAAAAGGUGGUUCAACUAUUCGCGCAUUACAAAGUGAAACUGGUGCUUCGAUUAAGAUUAUAGAGCCUAAUUCUGAUUCAGAAGAACGUGUAAUUGUGAUAUCUGCACAUGAGAAUUCUGAGAUGAUGCAUUCUCCAGCUCAGGAUGCAGUACUUCGGGUGCAUUCUAGAAUCUCGGAGUCAUCGAUGGAUAAAAGUUCUGCUGUAACUGCAAGACUUCUUGUACCAUCACAGCAUAUUGGUUGCUUACUAGGCAAAGGUGGUUCUAUCAUCGCAGAAAUGAGAAAAAUAACAGGAGCUGGUAUCCGAAUUUUCGGGAAUGAACAAAUUCCAAGAUGUGCACAACGAAAUGAUGAGCUAGUUCAGGUCACAGGUAGUUUUCAAUCCAUUCAGGAUGCAUUGCUUCAUAUCACUGGAAGGAUUAGAGAUGUCAUCAUUCCCAUGAAGCCACAUCCAGGUGGAGGUAUGCCCCCAUAUCCACCUGGUGGAAACGCUCCACCUCACCACCCAAGACAAGAACCAGCACCACCGCAUCCCACUGGAGGCAUGCCUCCAUAUCCUAUGCCUUCUUUCAGAGCUGAUCGUCCUAUGGGUCCUUUUGAUAUGGUCGAUCAUCGACCACCUCCCCCUCAUUCAAUGGAGCACAUGGGUGCUGAUAGGAUGCCCUACUCAUAUGGUUGUGAACAAGGAGGUGGUCCUCGACCUUUUCUGGACCAGCCAUCACCAAGUGCCUGGGCUCCUGAGGCACCAAACAGUGAAGCUCCAAGAAAUAUGCCUGAGACAGUACCACCUGCAGAUUUCAGAAAGGGAGCAGUGGCAGGAACAAAUCAAGUGGCUACACCAUCUAAUGCAACUGAAGUCAUUAUUCCCCGCAAGUACAUAGGUUUUAUUUGUGGAGCCAAUGGCAGUGACCUUGCUGAGAUAAAGAAGAUGUCAGGUGCCACAAUUACUGUCCAUCAUCCAAAACCUGGGGAUGCAAAUGCAUUGGUUAUUAUAUGUGGGGAUCCUGACCAAACUAAGAAGGCACAAAGCCUACUUCACGCGUUCAUCUUUUGUGGUCUCUACCAAACUUAGCCCUGAGCUUUCAGAAAUGGCCAUGAAGCAUGAGUGUCUAUGUGUUUUGCAUGUCGAUGUUGCUCUGGAUCUUCAGCUGGAUUUUCCGUAUGGUCGUACGAGGGAUUUUUUUCCAGGAAACUCAUCAGUGGUCACUGGUCACAGAUGCAACUGUUCUUUUGUGCUAUCUGGUAAGUCUUGACUUGCUGGAUCAUAGACGACCUCCUCCGAUGUACAAGCAACGACGCUGGCAGUGUCAAUCAGCUAGCUCGUCUUUGCUUGGAAUCCAAAUUUUUGUCACAGCCAUUCCCAGUUCAAUUCAAUUUGGCAAAAUCAUUUGGCAAGCUUUACUACCACAAGCAAUGAAAUGCAAGUUGGCUGGUCAGUUUUACGAACUCGAAUUCCUUGCUGAGCUAGAAACUUCGCAUGACACAGCAUAGUUUCUUGGAAACAUAAGGAGAGCACAGGAAAUUGGAAUAUGCAGGACAUCUCACGGAUGCACUCAAAAUCAUAUCUACCAAUUGGCAGAGGCGACGCUAGACUUUGGCAUGAAGGUCUUCCCAGUUCCCAAUGAACUUGUAGGCAAUUGCAAGCCUGACAUUUGUGGCAUCCUGUUGCUAUGCUUUUUGGGUUGUAAUGUAUUGCUUCCCUUGCUUUGAACAAUGAACAAGUCACACGAGCUUUCUUUGAUCUGAAGCAUCUCUUGCUGUCAAAGCAUAGGUGUUGGCUGGUCACCUGCUAUGGCUUUUAGCCAGAUAAGAGCAAGUUUUACAGAAGGGGUAAUUGUCACAUUUAAUUUUAUUCAUGUAAGAUAAGAGAACAUCUAAUUUUAUUCAAAGUAGUCGUAAUCUGUGUAAUUAGUUAUUUUUAAGCCUAUAUUUAAUACUUCAUAUAGGUGUUCAAACGUUUGAUGUGAUAGGGUGUAAAAUUUUGUGGUGGGAUCCAAA